UCUGGGAUUAGAUACCCUGUUAUUUAAAAUGUAAAUUAUUUAUUAAAGUAGUAAUAGUUAUAUUCUUGAAACUUAAAAAAUUUGGCGGUAUUUUAGUCUAUUCAGAGGAACCUGUUCUUUAAUCGAUAAUCCACGUUGGACCUUACUUAAAUUUGUUUAGCAAUUUAUAUACCGUUGUUAUAUUAAAAUAUUUUUGAGAAUAAUAAUAUUUAAUAAUUUUUAUAAAAAUUUAUAUCAAAUCAAGGUGUAGUUUAUGUUUAAGUAGAAAUGGGUUACAAUAAAAUUAUUUGUGGAUGUAAAUAUGAAAAAUUUAUUUAAAUUGGAUUUGAUUGUAAAAUUAUAGAGAUUAAUAAUUUGAUUUUAGCUCUAAAAUAUGUACAAAUCGCCCGUCACUCUCU
Molecule: ribosomal RNA, 398 nt
Filed under: Carexomyza marshalli
Lineage: Eukaryota; Metazoa; Arthropoda; Insecta; Diptera; Anthomyzidae
Description: Carexomyza sp. 1 AT-2015 partial small subunit ribosomal RNA
Source: RNAcentral